GUCCCCGGCCCGGGUGUCAGGCUGAACUCCAGCUCUCUUAGGUAAACACGGUAACCAGGACCGUGGUGCCCUUGGCCCCAUCCUAUUAUCUGAGAUGGCUCAGGAAAGGCCAGGUGAAAAUUCAAUUCCUACACUCCACCCCUCACCCCUGAAUCUGCUUGUACCUUCUCCAGAAGUGUCCUCAGGCGAGGAAGGCGUGUGUCCACCAGCAGGUUGGGCCUCUGGGAGAACUUGAUUCUAAGCUUUGCUCUAGGGACGCCUGGGUGGCUCAGCAGUUGAGCGUCUGCCUUUGGCCCAGGGCAUGUACCCGGGAUCCGGGAUCGAGUCCCACAUCAGGCUCCUAGCAGGGAACCUGCUUCUCCCUCUGCCUGUGUCUCUGCCCCUUGCUCCCUCUCUCUUUCAUGAAUAAAUAAAUUAAAUAUUUAAAAAAAAUAAACUCUGCUCUACACAUCCUCACUAUAGGAUCUUAAAAAGUCACUUCUCUGCUCUAUAACUCCGUUUCUUCAUCCAUAGGAGGAGAAGGUGGACUAGAGGCCUAGAAUCCCUCUGGCCGUGGCCACAAGUCUGAGACUCUCCCGCUCCGGGCUGCUGGGUGAAUCGUGGAGGGUCUAGCACUGCCCUUUGUCAGGAAGAUCCUCCCCCUGCAUAGAAGCACCUCCCCAUACCUGCCGUGGAGGAAGGGGGUGGUCACUGCCCUCCUGCAGGAGAUGAUCCCAGGCUUGCCCCGGUGCACUCCCCUGGUGUACGCCCUGGAAACAAACCAAUUUCCUAUCCCCUAUGCCCGCCCUGCCCGCCCUGCCCCGCUAUACUCCCAGCCUGGCCUUGAGCCAUCCGGCCACACCCCAUUAGAACCAGACACAUGCUGCCUUGGUAACAGUCGUCAUUCACCCCCACCCCUGUCCCUCUCCUCCCACAGCAGCCCAUGCCCCCCAGACAGAGCCCCUCAGCCUAUCCUGCUAAGAAAGCUGGGCUUUCCCCCUCUCCAUCCCCCCUCACCCCCCACCCCCAUCACCAAAGAAAUCAGAUCUCCCGGAGUUGAGCAGCACCUCGCCUGCCACCUCUGCAGGGCUUCCCCCUCCAUCCCCCAAACCACAUCCACUUACGGCAGCUUCACACCCACCUCUGCACCCCAGCCCCACCUGCUUGAGGGCCCCAGAGGUGUACAAAAGACAACUGUAGAGCACUUACCAGUCUGGAUGAGCCAACAGACUUCGGACAACAGUCAACCGACCCCUGGGCCUUCAGGGUCUGGCAGAAGGAACUGGGACACCAGAGAGGGACCAGGGCGGGCCUCUGUCCAUGGUGGAAGCCUACGGAGGGAGAAUCAGUGGGGCUCCACAUUGGGCCCUAAAGUCUCUGAGGACCCCACAGGGCAGGGGCUCAAUCACCCCAACUCCAGGCAGCCCAGACUCCUAACCAGAGCAAUGGGGACUCCCAGGAAAAACUCUGUGAAGCCACUCUGGGCCCCAAACACGAAGGCCCAACUUGAAGCAAAGUGGUUAAGGGCCCCGACGCUGGAACCCCGGCACCUGCGUUCAAGUCCUGGCUCUGUCACCUGUAAUCCUGGGCAAGUUGCAGAACCUCUCUGCGCCCCAGGUUCCCCCACUGUGGAAAUGCCAACCGGUGAUAGACAUCUCCGAAAUGAACUACCACGGGGCUGCCGGGGGACUUAAAAUGAGUCCACGUGUGUAAAGGACAAAGCAGAGCGCCAGACACACGUACAACAGCACUAUCGUUAUUAGGAGAAAUUAAAUGAGGACACGUCAGAGCCAGUCGCAGGCCCUGGGUUUUAUUCCAAGCCAUCUCUGGGCACCCGGUCUCCCCUUCCAGAGCCAAAUGUGAGCACCACCCUUCCAGCCAGAGUACUCCAGGCCCUACAUCUCUCCUUCCCUUUUUCUCACCCCAAUUCAGCCCUCUCCUCUCUCAACUGAGCCUCAAAGUGAGAGCAGGACCGGGUGCCCUCUGGGGCAAUGUGAGGCGUGGGAAAAGGGAAGUAGAUGCUCCCAUGCUGGGAGGUAGAGGGUGCAAGGAGGAGGCUACAUGAUGUAAUGGGCUUCCUUGCCCUCCUGACCCCUCCCUGCCCCAGGGUCCACAGACUAAAGGGAGCUACUCUGCACCACGGUACCCAGAUCCUCCUCUAACAGAGCUAUGAGCACUCCCAUGCUCCUCUGCGUGAAAUGGAGACCAAGGGGUGAAGGCACUGGGAGUGAAAGGCAGGGGAGCAGUCUUGAGCAUCUGGGGGGCUUCCAACCCUAACAGAGGGCAAAAUCAGGGGGCACCUGGGUGGCUCAGGCAUGAUCCCAGGGUCCUGGGAGCCUGCUUCUCCCUCUGCCUGUCUCUGCCUCUCUGUGUCUCUCACGAAUAAAUAAACAAAAUCUUAAAAAAAUAAUAAAAAUAAAAAUAAAAAAGGUGGCCAAAUCAGCUUCCAACCUGUCUCAGCUCACAGGCUACACCUGCUUCCCAGAGUGACACCAUCAUCGUCCCGUACCCCGGAAACAGGCCUGCAAUAAGGCCCCAGGGCUCCCCUGCACAACCUUCCCUUUUCUCCCUACCAGUCCACAGCUGAGGAGGAAGGGCAGGAAGGACCAACAGCUCCCACCACAGUCAGGCCCGCCCAAGUGCCCAGGUCUUCCGCACUCAUCUUCCCCAGUCUCCGAGAAAUAGGGGCCAGAGUCGGGGAUUGGUCAUGCCCAGAAAGUGCUUCUUAACAUCUCGGAGCCGAUAUCUGAUGCCAUCUCCUGUCUCAGAUCAAAAUUCCCUCCACAAGCCUCGACUGAGGGCCUCGGCAAGCCAGGCAGUGAGCCACGAACCCCAUGUCUGGGCCCUGGGAGGCUGUGAUGGGGGAAUGAAUCCAGGUCAGUUACCUGUGCAGAGGGCGAGCCUAGGGCCGAGUUACCUGUGCAGAGGGCGAGCCUAGGGCUUGGAGAAGAGACUGAUGCCCCCUAAGUGGUGUGGAAGCAUCAGGCCAGACCUGGGACCCAGCUCUUGCACCCCCUCCUUGCUGUGCCCCCUGCACACGGGCUUUCUCUCCCCAGGCAGGGCCUUUGCUUUGGCUGUCCCCUCCACCGAGGCCAUUGCCCGGGAGGUCUGUAUGCUUAGCUCCUUCUCAGCAGCCAGGCCUCCUGUCCUCUUUCACCUCCUUGGAGAGCCUCGGCCCCCACCGCCGGCACAUGGCCCUGGUUUGAUUAGCUGCAGCGGACUAAUGCUGCCGAGCUGUUCACUCAUCUGUCCUAAUCGCUGUGGUCUUCACUCUCCCAAACACAGCUCAGCACUACUAGGUACUUGGGAAAUAUUUGAGGAAUGUUGCCGAAGAAGACUCACGCAUGCCUGCCUCAGAACCGGGCUGAGCGGGGGGCGCCUGGGUGGCUCAGUGGCUGAGCGUCUGCCUUUGGCGCAGGGCGUGAUCCCGGGGUCCUGGGAUCGAGUCCCUCAUCAGGCUCCCAGAGUAGAGCCUGCUUCUCCCUCUGCUUAGGUCUCUGCCUCUCUCUCUGUGUCUCUCAUGAACAAAUAAAAUCUUUAAAAACAAAAAAGAACUAGGCUGCGAGAACCGGCCAGCUGCCUGGAAGGAGGUAUGGAAAGGACACCGGAGCUAAGGAACUGUCCCUUCUGUUCGACGGCAGAUCCAAAGUCCGAGGAUCCUUCCCUAUGCUGGGCUACGACCCCGACUCCUAGAGCCCCAGCCCUGCAUCCCAGCUCCACACAGGCCCCCCCAAACCUCCUCCUCCUUCCUACCAAGUAUUUGUCUUCUCUUAACUCAACUUCUCCUCACCACAGGAUGUGGUGGGCAGACCCUCUGCAGCCCUGGUGCCUUCCUGGAUAUAAGCUCUGCAUCGGCCAAGUCCCCCUGCCCCCCAGAAACGGGCACACUACUAGUAUUAACAAUAUAACAGCAGAUAACACCUACUGAACACCAUGCGCUAGACACAUCACCAAGCACUUUACAUGCACGUUCUCAUUUCGGCCUCAUGAUGCUACGAGGAAGAGAUUAUUAUAACGAACUAAGUUUUACCAGAGGGGACACUAAGGUGCAACAAUGCUAUGCAACUUGCUGAAGGUCACACAGCUAGGAAGUGACAAAGCCAGGAUUAGGACCCAGGGAGCCCCAGGGCCAGGCCUCCUUCUUCCCCGCUUGGACGACUCUAGUGGGUAGAGGUCUCAGAUUGCACAGAGCUGUCAGGCAGCUGACUCCAGAAAGCAAGUGGGAGGCUCUGGCCCUUAGAGUCAGGCUCUAGGCCUGAACUCCUGCAACUAAUUUUCUUCACUCCAGCACAGGCCCCAACAUUUAUAAUCAGUCACAUUCAUCUUGUUCAUCUUGGUCCACCCUUCUGCCCGGCUGCCAUCAUCUGGAAUCUUGAUUUUAUCCUAUCGUACACCUGUCAUUCCCCUUGGCUCUAGGUCUUUAGAAAGAGUCAGCCGGCCUCCCUUUUAAGUCUUCAUCCAAAUCACUGAUCUAAAGGUUCACUUGCAGUGGGUGUAGGACCAUGGCUGUAGCCCGCCCCCCCAGCCCCCUGUCCAGGGUGUUAUCAGCCCCCUGAGCCAUCAGCACCCUUUGGGCACAGCUUUUGUGAAGACACCUACCUCUCCCCGGCCUUCCUUUGCCCUGCGUGCCCCAACACUAGCCCCAAGUCCAAAUGAAUGCUUCGCUGGAAAGCCCUGUAAGUGCCUCUUCUGAAGCAUUUCUAACCCCAGGUCGGCUCCUGACUCUACCUGACCCUCUCCGGUUCGAUUUCUUCUACUCAAUCCCAGGAUGGGGUUGCACCGGGCAAGUCUGGUCCCUCCCCUCCCCAACUCCUGGACUCCUGGAACCCAUCGCCCCCACCCCCCCGCCCCGCCCGCAGCCGGCGGGGAAAUGGAAGGAAUGUCUCGGCCUGGCCACCUCCAGCGCCCCGUGGGCCAAACCCCACCCUCCACGGCCGGGAGAGAAAGCCUUGGAAAGCCUGGGCCGCCACACUCGCGGCGCCCGGGGCUGACUCUGAGCCCGCAGGUUCCUCCGGGAACCAGUCCCCCACCCCCCGCCCCCGCACACGCUGCGCCUCGACCCCCCGCGGGACCCCCCAGCACACGCUGCACCCCCCGCCCCCCCGCACAGCUGCACCCCGACCCCCCGCGGGACCCCCCAGCACACGCUGCACCCCCC
Molecule: long non-coding RNA, 5137 nt
Filed under: Canis lupus familiaris (dog)
Lineage: Eukaryota; Metazoa; Chordata; Mammalia; Carnivora; Canidae
Description: lncRNA (ENSCAFG00030022678.1)
Rfam family: tRNA (bases 3357-3439)
Source: RNAcentral